RNAcentral lists this ribosomal RNA (768 nucleotides) under Staphylococcus simulans. RNAcentral's name for it is "bacterial SSU rRNA". It matches the Rfam family "Bacterial small subunit ribosomal RNA", at positions 59 to 812 of the family's 1533-position model. The record is from RNAcentral. Lineage: Bacteria; Bacillati; Bacillota; Bacilli; Caryophanales; Staphylococcaceae.
CAGUCGAGCGACAGACGAGGAGCUUGCUCCUCUGACGUUAGCGGCGGACGGGUGAGUAACACGUGGGUAACCUACCUAUAAGACUGGGAUAACUCCGGGAAACCGGGGCUAAUACCGGAUAACACAUGAAACCGCAUGGUUUCAUGAUGAAAGACGGUUUUGCUGUCACUUAUAGAUGGACCCGCGGCGUAUUAGCUAGUUGGUAAGGUAACGGCUUACCAAGGCAACGAUACGUAGCCGACCUGAGAGGGUGAUCGGCCACACUGGAACUGAGACACGGUCCAGACUCCUACGGGAGGCAGCAGUAGGGAAUCUUCCGCAAUGGGCGAAAGCCUGACGGAGCAACGCCGCGUGAGUGAUGAAGGUCUUCGGAUCGUAAAACUCUGUUAUUAGGGAAGAACAAGGAUGUAAGUAACUGUGCAUCCCUUGACGGUACCUAAUCAGAAAGCCACGGCUAACUACGUGCCAGCAGCCGCGGUAAUACGUAGGUGGCAAGCGUUAUCCGGAAUUAUUGGGCGUAAAGCGCGCGUAGGCGGUUUUUUAAGUCUGAUGUGAAAGCCCACGGCUCAACCGUGGAGGGUCAUUGGAAACUGGAAAACUUGAGUGCAGAAGAGGAAAGUGGAAUUCCAUGUGUAGCGGUGAAAUGCGCAGAGAUAUGGAGGAACACCAGUGGCGAAAGCGACUUUCUGGUCUGCAACUGACGCUGAUGUGCGAAAGCGUGGGGAUCAACAGGAUUAGAUACCCUGGUAGUCCACGCCGUAACGAUGA